UACUCAGUUCGGAUUGAAGGCUGAAAUUCGCCUUCAUGAAGCCGGAAUUGCUAGUAAUGGCAGGUCAGCAUACUGCCGUGAAUACGUUCCCGGGCCUUGUACACACCGCCCGUCACACCAUGAGAGUUGGGAAUACCCGAAGCCUGUGAGCUAACUUUUAGAGGCAGCAGUCGAAGGUAGAAUCAAUGAUUGGGGUGAAGUCGUAACAAGGUAUC
RNAcentral lists this ribosomal RNA (215 nucleotides) under uncultured bacterium. RNAcentral's name for it is "partial 16S ribosomal RNA". It matches the Rfam family "Bacterial small subunit ribosomal RNA", at positions 1285 to 1500 of the family's 1533-position model. The record is from RNAcentral.